This 253-nucleotide ribosomal RNA is filed under the name uncultured bacterium. Its description in RNAcentral is "partial 16S ribosomal RNA". It matches the Rfam family "Bacterial small subunit ribosomal RNA", at positions 524 to 776 of the family's 1533-position model. The record is from RNAcentral.
UACGAACUGUGCGAACGUUAUUCGGAAUCACUGGGCUUAAAGGGUGCGUAGGCGGUUUGUUAAGUCAGGUGUGAAAUCCCCCAGCUCAACUGGGGAACAGCGCUUGAAACUAGCAGACUUGAGUGAGGUAAGGGUGUGUGGAACUUCCAGUGGAGCGGUGAAAUGUGUAGAUAUUGGAAGGAACGCCGGUGGCGAAAGCGACACACUGGGCCUUGUCUGACGCUGAGGCACGAAAGCUAGGGGAGUGAACGGG